GUUAGUGUCUAUAUCGUACAGGGUCCACCCGUUCCCAUUCCGAACACGGUAGUUAAGCUGUACUGUGCCGACGAUACUUGACUGGCGACGGUCCGGUAAAAUAGGUCGAUGCUAACA
This 117-nucleotide ribosomal RNA is filed under the name Oscillospiraceae bacterium. The record is from RNAcentral. Lineage: Bacteria; Bacillati; Bacillota; Clostridia; Eubacteriales; Oscillospiraceae.